This is a small nuclear RNA of Dipodomys ordii (Ord's kangaroo rat), 107 nucleotides long. The record is from Ensembl. NCBI's taxonomy places the organism in Eukaryota, Metazoa, Chordata, Mammalia, Rodentia, Heteromyidae.
AUACUCACUUCAGCAGCAGCUAUAAUAAAAUUGGAACGAUACAGAGAAGAGUAGCAUGGUCCCUAAAUAAGGAUGACACGCAAAUUCAUGCAGUGUUUGACACUUUU